UAGGGUACAGAAACCUGAUUCUGGGCUCCUUUUGGGAAGGAGGAUUUGGGGUCUGGUGAGAGCAAAUGAUUUUGCAAGUAUAAAACCAUGUCCAGAGAGGCUGUAGGGAUAUCUGUGAGCCCAGAGGAAACACCAGGGGAUCCUGUGUGAAGCACCCGGGCUUCAGCUGGGGUGGGAGGAGUGGAUGGGCCUCUCUCUAAUGACUUAUCCUGAUGUUUGUGUUUCUAAAGAUUUGAUUGUGGAGAGCAUGUCUGAUGACGAGGAUUUUGCAGCUUAAAGGGAGCUCCCGGGGUGAGUGAUGGAGGCGGGAUCGGACCCUGGCAGUUUGACGGCAACACCUGUGUUCCUCUGCACUGGGCCGUGGAUGACAUUACACACCUUGGUGAGAAUCAGGAAUUGAGGCUAAUCACAUCUGAAAUUGAGGGCUUAUGAUUUCUUCUCGGGUUUGAAACAUGCCCCCAGAUGAGCAAGACGGGGCUGCCACAUUGACGGAGCAGCUGCGGGACACACCCAAGAAACCUCCUGGAGAACACAGGGGACAUUCACGGCUGGAGGCUUCAUCUAUGGCCGGGGGCUUCAUCCAUGAGCUGGGGACUUCAUCCAUGGGCUGGGGACUUCAUCCAUGACUGGGGACCUCAUCCACGUCUGGAGACUUCAUCCGCGACUGGGGGCUUCAUCCAUGGGCUGGGGGAUUCAUCCACGGGCUGGGGGCUUCAUCCAUCACUGGGGGCUUCAUCCACGGGCUGGGGGCUUCAUCCAUGACUGGGGGCUUCAUCCACGGGCUGGGGGCUUCAUCCAUGGGCUGGGGGCUUCAUCCAUGACUGGGGGCUUCAUCCACGGGCUGGGGGCUUCAUCCAUGACUGGGGACUUCAUCCACGACUGGAGACUUCAUCCAUAGGCUGGGGGCUUCAUCUACAGCUGGAGACUUCAUCCACAGCAGGGGCUUCAUCCUUGGUUGGUUUGCCUGAUCUGUAUCUGAGCCACAGAUACAGAUUAU
RNAcentral lists this long non-coding RNA (997 nucleotides) under Homo sapiens (human). RNAcentral's name for it is "non-protein coding LINC01658:9". Lineage: Eukaryota; Metazoa; Chordata; Mammalia; Primates; Hominidae. The record is from RNAcentral.